CCUACGGGAGGCAGCAGUGGGGAAUAUUGGGCAAUGGAGGAAACUCUGACCCAGCCACGCCGCGUGAAUGAUGAAGGUCCCCGGAGUGUAAAGUUCCUUUUUUCGGGAAGAAGAACGUGCCGCUCCCUUAGUUAUAAGCCUCGGCUAACUACGUGCCAGCAGUCGCUGCAAUCCGUAGGGGGCGAGCGUUAUCCGGGAUGACUGGGCGUAAAGGGUGCGUGGGUGGUCUGGCAAGUUAGUAGCGAAACUCCCAGGCUCAACCUUGGAAGUACUACUAAAACUGUUGGACUUGAGAGCGCGAGAGGCAAGCGGAAUGCCUGGUGUAGCGGUGGAAUGCAUAGAUAUUAGGAAGAACACCAGUGGCGAAGGCAGGUUACUGGACUGGAACUGACGCUGAGGCACGAAAGCGUGGGGAGCGAACAGGAUUAGAUACCCUUGUAGUC
This 443-nucleotide ribosomal RNA is filed under the name uncultured bacterium. RNAcentral's name for it is "partial 16S ribosomal RNA". It matches the Rfam family "Bacterial small subunit ribosomal RNA", at positions 338 to 795 of the family's 1533-position model. The record is from RNAcentral.